Molecule: long non-coding RNA, 599 nt
Organism: Hibiscus syriacus
Lineage: Eukaryota; Viridiplantae; Streptophyta; Magnoliopsida; Malvales; Malvaceae
Exons: 3
Source: RefSeq, a predicted model, not a curated record
CUCUCUAAACCACCGAGCUUUCAUUUUUCAAUUUCUUUGAAGAGAAAAUGGAGAGCACGGCCACCAACGACCAGGGCCCUCUUUUGGGUUCUCCGAUAAAGACCCAACACACGAAGAACGAAGAUCGAAGGCUCUCUUCGGCGUCAGAACAUCCCCGAGCCAGUAAGGAAUUCCCUAAUGAACGGAGACCUACACUCCGACAACGACAUGAUCAACAAAAGAAACGCUUGGUGUAACAGUUUGUACGAAUGGGAAAGGACAUACUCUCAGCUUGUAACUGAUACAACCUAUACAGGCUGUUGACUUGCUGUAGUGCUGCUGACGGCAAAAUUAGGGUAUUACAAGUACUUCCACAGGUACCUUCCAAGGAUGACAUCGUCGGUUAGAUGCAACCAUCCAAGGCCCAUAGAUAUCUUCUACCGGUCUGAACCAGAACCAUCUACUUUUCAUUCAGACCAUCUUUAUCGGUAAACGUCACACACAAAUCCUGACCAUGACCGUAAACCCCGCAUUUAAAACAGAUUUGUUGGAGGUUCGAAUAAAUCUAUCAAUGCCGAUACAUGGUAAUAACGACUUAUUAAGAUUGACAACCACGACCA